GAGUUUGAUCAUGGCUCAGAUUGAACGCUGGCGGCAUGCCUUACACAUGCAAGUCGAACGGCAGCACGGGAGCUUGCUCCUGGGUGGCGAGUGGCGAACGGGUGAGUAAUGCAUCGGAACGUAUCCUGGAGUGGGGGAUAACGUAGCGAAAGUUACGCUAAUACCGCAUAUUCUGUGAGCAGGAAAGCGGGGGGACCUUCGGGCCUCGCGCUCUUGGAGCGGCCGAUGUCGGAUUAGCUAGUUGGUGAGGUAAAGGCUCACCAAGGCGACGAUCCGUAGCAGGUCUGAGAGGAUGAUCUGCCACACUGGAACUGAGACACGGUCCAGACUCCUACGGGAGGCAGCAGUGGGGAAUUUUGGACAAUGGGGGCAACCCUGAUCCAGCCAUGCCGCGUGAGUGAAGAAGGCC
This 409-nucleotide ribosomal RNA is filed under the name bacterium enrichment culture clone ALO1_GLFRUDD03GN5HS. Its description in RNAcentral is "bacterial SSU rRNA". It matches the Rfam family "Bacterial small subunit ribosomal RNA", at positions 9 to 416 of the family's 1533-position model. The record is from RNAcentral.